RNAcentral lists this ribosomal RNA (1359 nucleotides) under metagenome. RNAcentral describes it as "bacterial LSU rRNA". It matches the Rfam family "Bacterial large subunit ribosomal RNA", at positions 1576 to 2925 of the family's 2925-position model. The record is from RNAcentral.
GCCUCUUGCUCGCGAAGCAAUCGGAAGUGGUUCCAAGAAAAGCCUCUAAGCUUCAGUCUAACGAGACCGUACCGCAAACCGACACAGGUGGGCGAGAUGAGUAUUCUAAGGCGCUUGAGAGAACUCGGGAGAAGGAACUCGGCAAAUUGGUACCGUAACUUCGGGAUAAGGUACGCCCUAGUAGCUUGACUGUGAACAACAGAAGGGUGAAUGGGUUGCAAAAAAAUGGUGGCUGCGACUGUUUAAUAAAAACACAGCACUCUGCAAACACGAAAGUGGACGUAUAGGGUGUGACGCCUGCCCGGUGCUGGAAGAUUAAAUGAUGGGGUGCAAGCUCUUGAUUGAAGUCCCAGUAAACGGCGGCCGUAACGAUAACGGUCCUAAGGUAGCGAAAUUCCUUGUCGGGUAAGUUCCGACCUGCACGAAUGGCGUAACGAUGGCCACACUGUCUCCUCCCGAGACUCAGCGAAGUUGAAGUGUUUGUGAUGAUGCAAUCUACCCGCGGCUAGACGGAAAGACCCCAUGAACCUUUACUGUAGCUUUGCAUUGGACUUUGAACCAAUCUGUGUAGGAUAGGUGGGAGGCUUUGAAGCGGGGACGCUAGUUCUCGUGGAGCCAACCUUGAAAUACCACCCUGGUUUGUUUGAGGUUCUAACCUUGGUCCGUUAUCCGGAUCGGGGACAGUGCAUGGUAGGCAGUUUGACUGGGGCGGUCUCCUCCCAAAGUGUAACGGAGGAGUUCGAAGGUACGCUAGGUACGGUCGGACAUCGUGCUAAUAGUGCAAUGGCAUAAGCGUGCUUAACUGCGAGACUGACAAGUCGAGCAGGUACGAAAGUAGGACAUAGUGAUCCGGUGGUUCUGUAUGGAAGGGCCAUCGCUCAACGGAUAAAAGGUACUCUGGGGAUAACAGGCUGAUUCCUCCCAAGAGUUCAUAUCGACGGGGGAGUUUGGCACCUCGAUGUCGGCUCAUCACAUCCUGGGGCUGUAGCCGGUCCCAAGGGUAUGGCUGUUCGCCAUUUAAAGUGGUACGUGAGCUGGGUUUAAAACGUCGUGAGACAGUUUGGUCCCUAUCUGCCGUGGGCGUUGGAAGUUUGAGGGGGGCUGCUCCUAGUACGAGAGGACCGGAGUGGACGAACCUCUGGUGUACCGGUUGUCACGCCAGUGGCAUCGCCGGGUAGCUAAGUUCGGAAGAGAUAACCGCUGAAAGCAUCUAAGCGGGAAACUUGCCUCAAGAUGAGACUUCCCGGGAACUUGAUUCCCCUAAAGGGUCGUUCGAGACCAGGACGUUGAUAGGCUGGGUGUGGAAGCGCAGUAAUGCGUUAAGCUAACCAGUACUAAUUGCCCGUGCGGCUUGUCCUU